GAUGAACGCUGGCGGCGUGCCUAAUACAUGCAAGUCGAGCGAACAGACGAGGAGCUUGCUCCUCUGACGUUAGCGGCGGACGGGUGAGUAACACGUGGAUAACCUACCUAUAAGACUGGGAUAACUUCGGGAAACCGGAGCUAAUACCGGAUAAUAUAUUGAACCUCAUUGUUCAAUAGUGAAAGACGGUUUUGCUGUCACUUAUAGAUGGAUCCGCGCCGCAUUAGCUAGUUGGUAAGGUAACGGCUUACCAAGGCGACGAUGCGUAGCCGACCUGAGAGGGUGAUCGGCCACACGGGAACUGAGACACGGUCCAGACGCCUACGGGAGGAAGCAGUAGGGAAUCUUCCGCAAUGGGCGAAAGCCGGACGGAGCAACGCCGCGUGAGGGAUGAAGGUCUUCGGAUCGUAAAACUCUGUUAUUAGGGAAGAACAAAUGAGUAAGUAACUAUGCACGUCUUGACGGUACCUAAUCAGAAAGCCACGGCUAACUACGUG
RNAcentral lists this ribosomal RNA (497 nucleotides) under uncultured bacterium. Its description in RNAcentral is "partial 16S ribosomal RNA". It matches the Rfam family "Bacterial small subunit ribosomal RNA", at positions 28 to 507 of the family's 1533-position model. The record is from RNAcentral.